This 466-nucleotide ribosomal RNA is filed under the name uncultured bacterium. RNAcentral describes it as "bacterial SSU rRNA". It matches the Rfam family "Bacterial small subunit ribosomal RNA", at positions 329 to 792 of the family's 1533-position model. The record is from RNAcentral.
CCCCAGACUCCUACGGGAGGCAGCAGUGAGGAAUAUUGGUCAAUGGCCGCAGGGCUGAACCAGCCAAGUCGCGUGAGGGAUGACGGUCCUAUGGAUUGUAAACCUCUUUUGUCGGGGAGCAAAAGACGCCACGUGUGGCGUUCCGAGAGUACCCGAAGAAAAAGCAUCGGCUAACUACGUGCCAGCAGCCGCGGUAAUACGUAGGGAGCAAGCGUUAUCCGGAUUUAUUGGGUGUAAAGGGUGCGUAGACGGGAAAUUAAGUUAGUUGUGAAAUCCCUCGGCUCAACUGAGGAACUGCAACUAAAACUGAUUUUCUUGAGUGCAGGAGAGGUAAGUGGAAUUCCUAGUGUAGCGGUGAAAUGCGUAGAUAUUAGGAGGAACACCAGUGGCGAAGGCGACUUACUGGACUGUAACUGACGUUGAGGCACGAAAGUGUGGGGAGCAAACAGGAUUAGAUACCCUUGUA